RNAcentral lists this long non-coding RNA (512 nucleotides) under Chinchilla lanigera (long-tailed chinchilla). RNAcentral describes it as "lncRNA (ENSCLAG00000024014.1)". Lineage: Eukaryota; Metazoa; Chordata; Mammalia; Rodentia; Chinchillidae. The record is from RNAcentral.
GCUAGGCAACAGUGGGCAGUCCCAACCUUAAGGGAGGGGCGCAUGACCUCGGGGAAAUAUGCAGGGCAUGAAGAAACAGAAACUUAACUAAUACUUAAGACGGCUGCUAACAUACAAUUGAGGGACUUCCCAAUACUGUAUUGACCACAUGGUGAUGUUAAAACAAAAGCGAGUGUAGAUUUCUGUAGUCUGGAAACAAAAUAAUAUGGAACAUCUUGUAGAGCUGCUAUCUGAGAGUCCCUCUUACUUUCUCAGAUGUUGCUUGCUUUGCAUUGUGGUCAGAGGAGAAAAAGAAGAAAUUUUAACAACUCUGGAUAUUUCAUUCAAGUUUGUGAGAUAUUCGCUCAGUAUUGUUUUUGUGCAAAUGACUGGAUGGCUUUGAAACGCAAAGGGGGAUAAGGAUCUCUGCCACUCUCUUUUUCCACUUAGGUAUAAAAUUCUAGGAUUUUCCAGUUUUACUGAUUUAGGUUGUUGUUACUGUCUGUUUGGUUAUUUAUUUAUUUUAAUUUUUG